UUAAAUUGAAGAGUUUGAUCAUGGCUCAGAUUGAACGCUGGCGGCAGGCCUAACACAUGCAAGUCGAACGGUAACAGGAAGAAGCUUGCUUCUUUGCUGACGAGUGG
This 107-nucleotide ribosomal RNA is filed under the name Escherichia coli. RNAcentral's name for it is "partial 16S ribosomal RNA". It matches the Rfam family "Bacterial small subunit ribosomal RNA", at positions 1 to 105 of the family's 1533-position model. RNAcentral also lists the same sequence under 2 other names. Lineage: Bacteria; Pseudomonadati; Pseudomonadota; Gammaproteobacteria; Enterobacterales; Enterobacteriaceae. The record is from RNAcentral.